RNAcentral lists this unclassified non-coding RNA (307 nucleotides) under plant metagenome. Its description in RNAcentral is "partial contains 5.8S ribosomal RNA, internal transcribed spacer 2, and large subunit ribosomal RNA". The stretch from base 1 to 105 matches the Rfam family "5.8S ribosomal RNA", at positions 50 to 154 of the family's 154-position model. The record is from RNAcentral.
GAACUGCGAUAAGUAAUGUGAAUUGCAGAAUUCAGUGAAUCAUCGAGUCUUUGAACGCACAUUGCGCCCCCUGGCAUUCCGGGGGGCAUGCCUGUCCGAGCGUCAUUGCUGCCCUUCAAGCCCCCGGGCUUGUGUUGGGGACCUGCGGCUGCCCGCAGGCCCUGAAAACCAGUGGCGGGCUCGCUGUCACACCGAGCGUAGUAGCAAUCACCUCGCUCAGGGCGUGCUGCGGGUUCCGGCCGUUAAACAGCCUUACAAAACCCAAGGUUGACCUCGGAUCAGGUAGGAAGACCCGCUGAACUUAAGC